ACCUGGGCCAUGAUUCACUGAUUGAUUGAUCGGGGCCCAAGGGAGAUACACGGAUCACACUAACCAGCUUGCUUCACACAUGUUUUUGAACUAAUUUUGUCGCGAGAGAAGUAGGAGGAGUUGCCCCUGUAACUGUCCUGGAUUGUCAACAUGUUGUAAGUGCUGGACCCAACAACCAAGCAAAAGUUGAGGUAGAGAUUUUUUUUUCAAACUAAAAUGUGUGUAUGAAAGCAGAUACAUCACUGGCCAAAUUGAAUAUAUUUGGGGAGCCCAGACUGCACCAAGUCUACUGGGGUUUUCAUUACACGGAGCGAGAAUAAUAGAUCGCCCGGUUACUACAACACAAACGGUUUUCUAUCGAACCCAUUGAAAAUCGCCGGCAAUUUACAGUAUUUCCAAACGUGAGAUAAUUGUGUAAGCUUUGUCCUCUUCGGAGUUGAAGGCACUGAAAACUGAAUAUUGAAUUGUUAUUGUGACUGUGUGAGUUAGUGAAAGCUGUUACAGGGUCCUAAGCCUUAUAGGCUGGGGUCUGUCACAUCUACGACUCCGGAGUAUAGAGUCACUCUUAGGCAGUCAGGCGUGGCGGUGCUCAGGACGUGUAAAAAGGCAAACCAGCGCGACACCGACGUUCAGGCACAGCAGCCAGGCGUGCAUGUUGUUACCACGGCAAGUGUGUACCCACGGUUACAGUUAGCAGGCUAGGACUGUGGACUGGCGACGACAAACACCAGCCACUCCAAGAUAGACAGACGGACAGACGGACGUGUAUAGUGAAAUACUAAGCCAGCACGUCUAUCUACACCCAUAGACCUGAGUGUGUAGCACACAGACACGGAGGAUCAAGUCAAUUAAGUACCGGAGCAGUGCGUGUGUGUAUCGGACUUUCGAUCUGGAUCAUCUCAGCACCAUUGCCGCGUUACAACUUGCUGCAUCUCCGACCUCGGUAGCCAGUGUCGCUCCUCGCCUCAAAACACUACCUGUUGGCUCAAGGAGGUACCUUGGAUCCGGAGUCAGGAUGCACCCCUACCUCUACGUACAGUACCCGUACGUUCCUAUGCCGAUGAAGCAGGAUCAGCUCGUGGAAAUGAAGGUCAACUGGGCCACCUCUCCAAGUAAUCAGCCCAAACAAGACACAAGCAAACAUUUCCAUAUAUUUGUUGGAGACCUCAGUCCAGAUAUAGAAACACACCAACUCAAGGAGGCGUUCGGAGCUUUUGGGGAAAUUUCUGACUGCAAAAUCAUCCGAGACCCCCAGACAUUGAAAUCCAAAGGAUAUGGUUUUGUCUCAUUCGUUAAAAAAACAGACGCAGAAACAGCAAUCAAUGGAAUGAAUGGUCAAUGGCUAGGAACCCGUGCCAUACGAACUAACUGGGCAACCAGGAAACCCCCUGCACCGGUACCGAAAGAAACUGUAAAACAGAUGUCCUAUGAUGAAGUAUACAACCAGUCAAGUGCUACAAACUGUACCGUCUACUGUGGUGGCAUAGCCAACGGUCUAACAGAAGAUCUUAUACGUCAAACAUUCAAUACCUACGGCACAAUACAAGAAGUUAGAGUAUUUAAAGAUAAGGGUUAUGCUUUCAUAAGAUUUUCCACAAAAGAAGCAGCUGCUCAAGCAAUCUGUUCUGUGCAUGGUACUAUGGUGAAUGACCAACAAGUCAAGUGUUCCUGGGGAAAAGAGUCCAACGACCCUAGUCAGAACAGUACUGGGGGCUCUGCCACACCCCUGCCCACACAGAACAGUCCCGCCCAGCAGAGUCCACAGCAGCAGUACUCCACAAGCUCGCCCUCAUCUUACUCCCCAUACUUCAACAUGGGCUACUACUUCCCAGGGGCCGCCGCCUAUCAGAACAUGGCACAGGGCAGCUACAUGCAGGCUGGAGGUAUUAACCAGUGGCCUGCAGGCUACAACUACCAGACAUACAGUAUGCCGACGACAGCUGUCCAGCAGUGGGGACAGGUCCAGAUGCAACCGGGCCAACAGCAGCAGUUCAACGGCCAGCAACCCGGCAUGAUGGGAUACCCAAUGCAGCAAGGUACAUCCCAUAAUAUCCGGGAUGAAGGCGUGGAAACAGGUGUCGGCGGAAUGAUGGCCCUUAAUUAUCUCAAGUCCGCUCCGUGACGAGACCGCGCACCGAGACCAGGAAUGAUGGGAGGACAGAGGGUGGAUACCAGAGUUAGAUUAAAGAUUCCAGCAAGCUCAGUGAUCAUGACUUACCACGUUCCAUCUGCCAUCAACUGCCACGCGUCAUCCCUGGUCGUAUUCGGCUGAUCCUGGUCGUGGCACCCCAUCCCGCACUACUACCUUAUACUGCUGGAGGCUGUUUACGCAGUCUGUGAUGUGUCCUUCGCGGGAAGGAAAAGCUAACAGCACAGAAAGCAACUUCAGCUCAAAUAUUUCAUUAUCUAUUGUAUCAUGUUUAUCUAGUACAGUUAUCUAUCUGUUCCAUAUAAAAACUUAAAUAGAAAUGUUACUUUUAAGUUUUUACAUGGACUUGAAGUUUGGUAAACGAAUAAAAGUAUUUAACCUGUAAUUUCUUUUAAAUAACAAUUUCUAAAUAAAUCCUGUAGGCAACAUUCUUUUUGACAUGUUUUAGGGACCGAAUAUUUCAAGUAGAAACAGGAUGACAGUUUUGAGGGGGUUGAAAAAGGAGAAUUUUAUGAUUGAUUUUGGCAGAAGUUGCUGACUGUACUUUAAGCAUAACCAUCUCAUCAACUUUGUACAUAGAUGUAUGUUAUACCAUGUAGAGGUUUAUAAUGAGGCUGGUGUUCAGGAUACAGGUUCUCAUUGAGCGGAGAUGCAACGGUUGUGGCAUCUUGUUGUGUAUUACAACCUCGGCUGUGGCAUCUUUCAUAUUGCAUCUGUGUAUACCAUGGCUCAUAGCUUCAGCUCAAGUUAUACUGACAAAAUUCAAAACACUGCUGUCUCAUAUUCCAGGAAAAGAUAUUUUAUUGCUUGUACCAGAAUCACAUGGAAAAGAUAUCAAAUAUCCUACAGUGUAACUUCUCGCUGUUGAUUUGGGUUGUACGGAAAAGGAAGAGUGUCUGAGUUAAUUUAUAAGCUGACAACUGUUGUCUGUAAGUUAAUUUAUUGACUCACAGCUGGUGUCUAUGAGUUAAUUUAUUGACUCACAACUGUUGUCUGUGAGUUAAUUUAUUGACUCACAACUGGUGUCUAUGAGUUAAUUUAUUGACUCGCAACUGUUGUCUGUAAGUUAAUUUAUUGACUCGCAACUGUUGUCUGUGAGUUAAUUUAUGAACUCUCAACUGUUGUCUGCAACCCUUUCAGCCCAAUGCAACUUUAGUAGACUCUUCCAUGUAUUGAUCUGGAUAAGUUCAUUAUGGUUUACAUUGGUAAAAGGGUUAACUCACAACUGUUGUUUAUCAGUUAAUUUAUUAACUCGCAACUGUUUAUCAGUUAAUUGAUUUACUCACAACUGUUGUUUAUCAGUUAAUUGAUUAACUCACAUCUUUGAAAUCAUACAACUGAUUUCUGUAAAAGCUUUGAAAGCUUGCUACUUAGGUCUGGAAGUUAUUCACAACAACAGAGGGAGCUAGGAGCUUUGGUUGGCGCAGUAACCUCCGCUGUAUUGAGCCACGUCGUUGUGGGUGUAACCGGGGAGGAGGAAGGCUGUAUAACGGUGUUCUUCUCAUGAAGUUCCUAAUGAUUAUAUAUAUAUUGUGUGAUCCUAGCUGUCCGUCAGAUCUAAGGUUCGUGGAAUCCGGCAGUGUACCAGAUCAGCGAUUUGUCGGACUUGUUGGUCCUGUCAGAUCAGCUGAAUCGUCGGAUCAUCAAUUCAUGGGAUUAUUGGGUGCGACGGAUCAGCCAUUGUCCUUGUAGAUAUUGUACCAAUACUAAUAUAAAAAUGGAUGGUUAAUGAUUAUGUAUCAGAAGGUAUAUCAAUUCUGAAUCAAUGCUCAUGAUGUAUUUAUUAUAUAUAGUGAGGCUGUGUAAGCGAGAGAUCACUUUGUCUGGCACCACUAGGGGGCACUGUCUGUAUUGCCAUCACUAGAGGGCAGCACUUGUGGUGUUGCUGCUAUCUGGCGAUAUGUGAUUUACUCCAUGCGAGUCUGAAAACUGUUGCUGUAAAACUUGUUUCCCCUCAGUUACAGUUUGUGAGUAUAUGGCGAGUACAACGUAUAUAACCCUCAGCUUUGGGUUCACAAGUAUGAUUGAGUCAAGAAAACUAUAAAUAGAUGUUCAGUUGUAUAUUGCGUGACGUUAGAAGAUCAGAUUUUUAUUGUUUUUAUAUGUGGGAGUGUGAAUGAUUUAAAUGUGUAUACGAUGACAAUGUACUGAUUUUAUAUGAGAUCAUGCACUGAGUUUGACUAGGAUGUUUCUAAUGAAUGAAUUAUUUUUCAUUUUAUUAUAUAUGAUAAAUGUUGCAGUUGUUGAAAAUGGUAUAUUAUGAUGAUUAUUAUUAUUAUUGGUGUCCAAGGAAAGACAAGUAUUAACAGCUACGUAUGAAUAAAUUAUUUAUACAUUUUUUCACCAGAUUCCGACAGGGAGUUAUGGUUGACAAUAUUUACUGUCAUCAUGUAUCUAUAGCAUCAAGUUUAUGUUCUGUUUUAUUUGUACAAUGUUAAUUGUGUAAAAAAAAAAGUUUUUUAAGACGUGAGAACAUUUCGUUACGCCAAAUAUGGCUGCUGCAAUGCGUAUAUUUUGAUACAAGGGGUAUUGUAGACUAUUAGAUACAGGUUUGGUAGCGCUGAAUGGUUAUUUAUCACUGCUAGUAAGAUGUGUUGUUGUACAUAGGAAAUCAUUAACUAGUUAGUUGGGACCUCCCGUCGUCAUACGUCGUCAUUGUUAGGUUGGGAAGCCCUCGUGUCAUACCUCGUCAUGGUUACAUGGGAAGCCCCUGUGUCAUAUGUUGUCAUGAUUACUCACCUGAGGGCACCUCCCCCGGGGUGUCUGGGAGUUCCUCUCAUCACAUCGGUGUGGUUCAUCAUUCUGGGCUGUCGUUGUGUCGUGGCUUUGUCAUCAUGGUCGUCCUACGUCGUGGUACGUGGUUUGUGUGAAGCGUCGGUGAUCUGUGUCGUUGUGGCGCUACCAGGCCGCUGGCCUGACAUGGAGUGUUGUUGUUGUAACAUAGAAAUAUAUCCCAGGAUUGCCUAGGUCUAUAUCCAGAUGUGUUCUAUUUUAUGUAUAUAACAGGAAGUGAUUGUAAAAAACAACAUGGACAAGUCUGGGCCAACACCGUUCAUACAUGGGGUCAUUUUAGUCAUUCUUAACUGUUAGGGAUCCCUGUCCCACUGUAGUCUAACCAGGAGAAAGAAAUCCAUUUUAGAUUUUCAUACACACAGUAAAACUCCGUAAUUUAGUUUUGAAUAUGAAUGAAGCAUGACUUGGCCAUUUAACUACCACUGACCAGGUAGGCUAAUUGGUUUGUGUGACCGUUUUGUAAUCUGAGGAUCUGGGUUGGAAUCCCAGCCUGGCCAAGUGGCAAUUUGUACUCUCAGAACACUGCUGUGAUUUAUUUUGUUAGUAAAGUUCAUUUUCAUUCUCCCGUAUUAAAUGUUCUGUGAGGUAUGGAUUUCCAGAAAUAGUUCAUUAAAGCUGUUGUCAUGCUGGUGAAAAAAGUUUCCAUUUCAUUGUCGUCCGUUGUCCAGGGAUCCCAAACAGACAUGUCAACCGUGAUAUAUAGACAUUAGUGUAUUACAGAAACUGUACUUACGUGCUGCUACCAGGAGUCCCAAGCCUCCUAAAGUUGCUAAGCAAAUAUGCAAAAUUAGGUGGAGUAGUGAUAGUGUGCCAUAGUGUGUUGUAGGCAACCCAAAUGUGCCAUUUUAAAACAUAAACGCCAUCAGCUGUUUGGUACCACUAGAUAUGUUCUGUAGUCAAGGUUGUGGCCUUGGUAUCCGAUGAUAAAGGUCAUGACCUUUGUGUCCUGAUGUUAAAUUAAAGGUUAUAAAUUUUACAACCUGAAGAUAAAGGUCAUGACAUUGGUAUACUGAUGUAAAAGGUCAUGACCUUUGCAUCAUGAUGAUAAAGGUCAUGACCUUUGAUAUCCAGGAGAGGAUAUAGGUUAGGAGUUAGUCCCCAGAUCACCACUUCCUAUAUGUUAUAUAUGGAGUGGAGGUUUAAACUCAAAUUGCUUGGUGGUUUUAGGGCCUGAUUACAGUUACAGUUCAAAGGUUGAUUACAGUUACAGUUCAAAGGUUGAUAACAACAAUUUGUAACUUAAAAAGAUUCCAGGUAGUUAUUUGUGCCCCUGAAUCCCCUUCUGGUGUCAACCAUUACCAGUCUAAGCUAUAACUAAACAUAUUUUCCUAUAGAAGAAAGGACGUUUCAAAUGAGAAAUAUUUGACCCGAGCACUGUGUUGAUCUCAUCAUUUCUGUGAUACAUAAGCCUGUGACGGCCUAGACUUUUCCAUGUGAGAACACAUCAGUCAUAUGUACAUAAACAUCAGUGGGAGUGCCCCUGUGGGGUGUGGAUGGGGGGGAUGUCAUCAGUAUUGUUCUCGUAGUAGUCAUCAUGUUUAUACAGGUGUUAGAUAUGUCAGCCAUACCAAACUCAUAGCACAUACAGGUCCACCAUACUGUAGUUUUACUGGUCAGAAAAUCAGAUACAUUUAAUGUAGAAAAAAACCCGAUAAAACUUCACAUUUAAUUUUAUAGGAAGUCUCAGAUAUUCUGAUUCCACUUACAGACUUGUUUUGACAAGGUACUAGAAUUUAGUCUCUGUUCAAAUCCAGCCAGUACCAGCAGACAUCUUCAGACUAGUAACAGAGAGGGGCAAAGCUUUCUGUUAGCUGUGAUAGAGACCUGUCCUUAUACUUAAGCUAGUCCCUUUAGGCUAAAGUUUGUGUUUGAUGUUGGAGGUGUUGAUUGUUUCGUAAGAUGAUUAUACCGAUUUGAUCAAACUCACCUUUACGUUUAAUCAGUGUUUUUACCAAUCCGUUUAGCUGAAAUGAUUUUCUUCGACAGAAUUUUUUGAGGAUGAAUUUGGUGUGAGCAGAUGAUGGCCUAAGCAUAGAGUCGUUAGUGUGAAGAGCUUGUGUAGUGGUGUUAGGGGGUUGUCGUCAUCGUGUUUUAUACUUUAUACGAAAAAAAUCAGCUCAACUUUCUAUGGGGUUAGUAGUGUUUUAUGAUUAGAGAUAUAUUGUAUAAUUACUGCGACAGUUCACAGCGCUUAAUCUUCGGUCAGGCCGACUGUUUCUCAGGGCUACAGAGGCGGGGGAUUUUUACCCUUCAGAUUGUUCAUAACGCUCCAGUCUUGUGCAGGUAAUAUGACAGACAUUUUGAAAGAAAAAAUAUCCUGAUAAGAAUACAAUAUUUUGGUGUUUUGCCAGAGUUUUUACCUCAUUUUAUAGAUUUCAAAAAUACCAGCAAACUUUGCUGUAUGUUACAAAACUCCCCCAUUUAUGACCAUUCAUAUUAUUCUAUGGAAUUAUGUAAAAGGAUUAAGCACAUUUUGUAUCUCUGUCAUUUCAACUGCAGUGUAAACUUUGUGACUCCCCUUUAAAUGAUACCUGUAUGAAAAGGAUACCAGUGUCAUUGAACAGUUGUUAAAUACAACGUUGUUGACCCUCACUCUCAGAUCAUGUUACUCCUACAGGGCGAAAUGCUACUACAAAAUGUGUAUCUAAACAAUGUGAAAUGUAAAUAAAUGUUAUUGCUAGUCCAAACCAGACUGUUGUAGAUGAUCAGCGUAAUUAAUUGUUAAUCUGAGUGUGUCAUUAUAUCAUUUAUCAUUAUGUGUCGGAAACCUCGAUCCAACUGUUUUGUAGGGUGUGUUAAGACGGAAAUGUGUUGUUUUUUUUUCCAGCUGUAAGCAACAAGACUGAAUUUUGUUUUUAACGUUUUAACAGUAAACGAAUCUGCUCAGUAUCAUUCGGUAUGUACACAUUAGCCGACCCCGAGAUUAUAUUAUAAACCAGUUUUAGACUUUGUCCAAAUUUCAGAUGUUAUAAGGCAUAGACAUAUACAUGUUUGUAUAAAUAGGUAUGAUAAAAAUCAGCCUGAAUUUCUUAAAAUUACAGACAUGCAAAUUCACAUUUUGAUGUGGGAAAUUAAAUUAAAGAUAUGAAAUAUGAAAUUUAACAGCAUUCCAAUUUGGACUUGAGUCUUAAUUAUUUUAUGGUUUUGGAGUCUGGUCUGUAAAACCCUCAAUAUAGCCCCAAGUGUGAAGAGGUUAGCCCCGCAGUUGGAGGUGAAACACAUGCCCUUGUUAGAAUGUGUACAUACAAUGUAAUUUAUGCAGUAUCGUCAUGUAGAUAACUCAGUAUACAGUUAGUUAAUGUACCGCACUGUCCCUCUCCCAGUCAAACUUGUGUGUCCCUUAAACCCAACAGCCUGGAAUUGACCUUCACCUUGACUGAAUCCUUUUUUACUCCUAGUUACGUCAAACAAACAACCCUAAGUUGAUACCAAAUCUCAUAAAGAUAGUUUGAUAAAUGUGACAUUUUUUUGUUAUAUGAAUUUAAAUUAGAUAUUUUAGUAUAAAGGUUGGGUGUUAAGACAUACAAAAGAUCGGUCCAAGUUAUUGACCGAAUGCUUAAAGACAAAUAUAUGAACUGACCACGUAUAUGGACACACAGGUUUGACCACGAACGGCAGUGUGGAUCUAACCAUCAAACUCAUAAUUUAUGACAAUUAUCCAUAGGACCAGUCUGUGUCAUAUACAGAAAUCAUUUUAACCGGGAGGCCUGGUGCUUCAAAACAUUUGUACAUAGAGGAAGGAGCUGGGCUGAAUUAUCUCCCUUCCCACUUCCAUUGCCUGACAGAUAAGAGGUCUGAUGAGAAGUAAAUUGGAAUUAUAAAAAUAAUGAAAAAUGGAAAGUUUAUACUGACAUUGCAGCAUGUGUCGAUUUCUACCAACAAUUGCUGAAAAGUUAAUGAAAUUUGUAUUGGAAAAAAUGUCAAUCUCUUGUCAAGUAUCAGAGUAGUAUUAGGAGCAGGGAGAUAACUCUGUCACAUCUGCUGUAUAGAUCCGGGGAUGUUGUUUCCUCAUCACUGAUAAUAGGCAGACCCUCCAGACUGCCAAGGAGGAGUGUUUGGACCCUCCUCACUCACAACAGGGACGGUUCAUGAUCAGUCCCUCACUGUGAAGGGAAGUAUUCAGACCCUCCUCACUCACAACAGGGACGGUUCAGUCCCUCCUCACAAAGAAGGGAGAUAAUUUGGACCCUUGUGACAGGGACAGUCUAGUUCAAUUAUGUACACUCAUUAUCAUAUGUCCAGUUCAUUUUGUGUUUGAUAUCAGAACGGUGUAGUCCGCUCUGCUCAUUGUACCACAGCAAAAACAAAAAUAAAAGCAUGGGAAGUCGA
This is an RNA transcript of Mizuhopecten yessoensis (Yesso scallop), 9271 nucleotides long. It is a transcript of the gene named nucleolysin TIAR-like, with no coding region annotated. The record is from RefSeq and is a predicted model, not a curated record. The transcript is spliced from 14 exons. NCBI's taxonomy places the organism in Eukaryota, Metazoa, Mollusca, Bivalvia, Pectinida, Pectinidae.